RNAcentral lists this ribosomal RNA (524 nucleotides) under uncultured bacterium. RNAcentral's name for it is "bacterial SSU rRNA". It matches the Rfam family "Bacterial small subunit ribosomal RNA", at positions 8 to 521 of the family's 1533-position model. The record is from RNAcentral.
AGAGUUUGAUCCUGGCUCAGGAUGAACGCUAACGACAGGCUUAACACAUGCAAGUCGAGGGGCAGCGGGGGGUAGCAAUACUUCCGCCGGCGACCGGCGCACGGGUGAGUAACACGUAUGGAACCUGCCCGUAGCAGGGGGAUAAGCGGAAGAAAUUCCGUCUAAUACCGCGUAAUAACUCCGAGAGGCAUCUCCUGGGGUUUAAAGGGUAACACCGGCUACGGAUGGCCAUGCGGCGCAUUAGCUAGUUGGCGGGGUAACGGCCCACCAAGGCGACGAUGCGUAGGGGUUCUGAGAGGAAGGUCCCCCACACUGGUACUGAGACACGGACCAGACUCCUACGGGAGGCAGCAGUGAGGAAUAUUGGUCAAUGGGCGCGAGCCUGAACCAGCCAAGUCGCGUGAGGGAAGACGGUCCUAUGGAUUGUAAACCUCUUUUGUCGGGGAGCAAAAGACGCCACGCGUGGCGUUCCGAGAGUACCCGAAGAAAAAGCAUCGGCUAACUCCGUGUCAGCCAGCCGCGGU